This 148-nucleotide non-coding RNA is filed under the name Nomascus leucogenys (northern white-cheeked gibbon). The record is from Rfam by way of RNAcentral. Lineage: Eukaryota; Metazoa; Chordata; Mammalia; Primates; Hylobatidae.
GCCGGGCGUGGUGGCGGGCACCUGUAAUCCCAACUACUCAGGAGGCUGAGGUAGGAGAAUUGCUUGAACCCAGGAGGCAGAGGUUGCAGUGAGCCAAGAUUGUGCCACUGCACUCCAACCUGGGUGACAAAGCAAGAUUCCGUCUCCA